Molecule: small RNA, 379 nt
Filed under: Granulosicoccus antarcticus IMCC3135
Lineage: Bacteria; Pseudomonadati; Pseudomonadota; Gammaproteobacteria; Chromatiales; Granulosicoccaceae
Description: cspA thermoregulator
Rfam family: cspA thermoregulator
Source: RNAcentral
UUACGUGAAAGGUAUUUGCUAGAUAGCAGAUUUAGUCUGAAGGAGUUUGUAGUCUCAAGCUACCUUUGUUUCAGACGGUCUGUCCAUUUUGAUGUUUUUUAUAUACAGGGUAUUAUCUUGAGUACUGGUACAGUUAAGUGGUUCGACGCGGCGAAGGGUUUCGGCUUUAUCGCUCCUGAAGAUGGCAGCAAGGACGUAUUCGUUCACCACACUGCUAUCACUGGCGACGGUUACAAGUCGCUUGAUGAAGGUCAGAAAGUAAGCUUCGACAUGGAACAGGGUCAAAAAGGCCCAGCAGCGGUUAACGUCUCUGCGAUCUAAUCCUUGUCACAUAGACACGGUAAUACCAGCAAGCCCCGCACGUAGCGGGGUUUGCUGG